RNAcentral lists this long non-coding RNA (1221 nucleotides) under Canis lupus familiaris (dog). RNAcentral describes it as "lncRNA (ENSCAFG00030008975.1)". The record is from RNAcentral. Lineage: Eukaryota; Metazoa; Chordata; Mammalia; Carnivora; Canidae.
AGGGCUCGGUGGAGGUGCUCGCCUUCCCCGCUGCUUUGCUCGGAGCCUCGCUCGCCGGCUCGCUCGGUCUGGGGGGGCCUGGGCCUGGCUCCGAGAAGCCCCCCUAUCCCGGAGGCUGCAGCCUCUAGCCCGCAGCUCGGGGCCACCUGGGCGCCCCCCAGCCCUCAAUCCCCCCAAACUGAGGGCCACCCUGCCCUGCCUCCGCGCGUCCCCGAGCUGGCAGCAGGGGCCAGAGCUCCCCUCCCCGCCCCUCCCGGCCGGCCCCCAUGCCCCCGCGCCCAGCUCCGCGGCGCGGCCGGGGACGGAGCCGGGAGUCCGGGCCGCCGCUUCCAGGGGACAGUGGGGGAGGAGGAGCCGGCGGGCCCCGCCGCCCGCGCGCCCGCCCGGCCCGAGCCCGCCCCGCCGCCCCACCGGGCCCGCGCCGCCCCCGAGCGGCCGCCCCAGGCGCCCCGCGCUCACCGGCCGCCGGAGCCCGCCCGGCAGGCAGCAGAAGCGGAGACGCGGCAUCCAGCGGCCCCGGCCCGGUCCGGGCUGGAGCGCAGCGCGGCGCAGCGCAGCGCCGCCCCCCGCAGCCGCGCGAGCCGAGCCGAAAGGGAGCUCCCUGCUGGCGGCUCCGGGGAUAAACGCCCGGCCUUCCUGGCAGCGCCCGGGCGCGCCUCCAGGACGGGCCAUGUGGGCCCGGGCGCUGAUCCGGAGCCCUCUUUCCGCGUCCGAGGCCCCGCCUGGAGCUCCGGGUGCCCUGGGCGCCGGAGGCCGCUGGGCGCGCCCGGGGCAGGCACCGCGCCCGCAUGUGCAGAGCAGGUUCCCUCCAAGGCCGGCCCCGGCCCCGGCCCCGGCACGGGUGGGGCGGGGGGCAGUGCUGUCCGGAGGAAGCAUUUGAGACUUGCUGGUCACAUCUUCCCAGGGUGUCUCCGCAGAGGCGGACGCUGGGCGCUGCUGGACGGUGCCAGAUGGUUCAGUCCAAAGCAGGCUCUGCCCACAUGUCCAAGGUGGCAUAGUCAGGAGGUACUCCCCUACGUGGACACGGGCUUGUGGCAGCUUGGUCUGAGAGAGCCCUGCCUCGAGGGGAGCUGCCUGAGGGGCACCAGAGCCCAGGAGGCAGCCCCCAGUGGCACUCACUCACUCCCAAAGGAGUCCAACAAUGCUAAGAUCAACACCUUUCAGAAGCUUUUUGGAAUGAGGUCUGCCCCUAGGUCCUCAUGUCCUGUAAAUGUCCAGUGA